UACGGAGGUCUCAAGCGUUGUUCGGAUUCAUUGGGCGUAAAGGGUGCGUAGGUGGCGGGGUAAGUCGGAUGUGAAAUCCCGGGGCUCAACCCCGGAACUGCAUUCGAUACUGCCUUGCUCGAGUACUGGAGAGGAGAUUGGAAUUUACGGUGUAGCAGUGAAAUGCGUAGAUAUCGUAAGGAAGACCAGUGGCGAAGGCGGGUCUCUGGACAGUUCCUGACGCUGAGGCACGAAGGCCAGGGGAG
Molecule: ribosomal RNA, 245 nt
Filed under: uncultured bacterium
Lineage: Bacteria
Description: partial 16S ribosomal RNA
Rfam family: Bacterial small subunit ribosomal RNA
Source: RNAcentral